Molecule: long non-coding RNA, 979 nt
Organism: Clupea harengus (Atlantic herring)
Lineage: Eukaryota; Metazoa; Chordata; Actinopteri; Clupeiformes; Clupeidae
Source: RefSeq, a predicted model, not a curated record
UGCAACGAGUGCAAUAGGAACUCGGGAGGGGGGAAUGCGCUCGACCGUUGGCUGCGCGCUCAGAGGUCACAGUGGAGACAAACCCUUCAUGGACCGCGAGGCAUAGAGAGCCAAGGAUGGCAGGACACAGGGCUUUUGUAAUGGAGAACCUACAACUGAACACAUACACAUGCUGUAUAAAGAAAGAGAUAGAGAUCUGACACAUGGCCAUUGACGUGUGGGGAGAGGUGGAGAAGGCUGUGGGCUGACCACACGCAGAUGUCAUCCACCAGGCACUUGAUAUUCACAGUGAAAGCAGUCGUCAAUGAAAGAGCUGCAAUGAAGUGACAAGACUCUUCUCACAGCAAUGGAUAUCAUUUCACCUGCAGAGGAAAGCAUUCCUUUGCAGUAUUUUCUCAUUGGCUUCGGCACAUUUCCUGAAACAUUGUCAAAACAGUAUGUGCAUGUCUUGAAACAAUUUGUACAAACAGCAACACACAAUGGAUUAUCUGCAAAAACCCAUAAUUCACCCUAGUUGAAAGUUAUUAUUUAUGCAAAUGAAUUUGUCAGUGCAACCAGAAUGAAAAGCCCUUAUGCCAUUAUUUAGAAAGACUUGUGUAACAGAGUACCCUGGAAGUGUAUUCCUUAUUUCCAAAUAAGCAUUUUAUUGUCACAUCUUUAUGCUGAAUUUAUAUUCAUUUUAUUAUAUCAUCUUUAUGCUGAAUUCUAUUCAUGUCAUGCUAAUUUCAACACUGUUUCGAGUGGUUGUGGAGGAAUUUGGUAGAAGGAUGCAGAAAAGCACUUCAAAGAUACUGGACAUAACCCACAAUUACAACCAGUUGUAACAUUUUUGGGGAAUUCAUCUGGCGUGCCACAUAAACUCUUUAUGUAAUGUUACCAACUCAUGAGACCAGUGUUAAAAGACUUUUCAUCUUCAUUCAGAAAGACCUCCUUCAUUGGUUAUGUAAGAUGGAGAUAAAUAAACAAUGUAAUACAUGGA